This 419-nucleotide ribosomal RNA is filed under the name uncultured bacterium. RNAcentral describes it as "bacterial SSU rRNA". It matches the Rfam family "Bacterial small subunit ribosomal RNA", at positions 357 to 774 of the family's 1533-position model. The record is from RNAcentral.
AGGAAUAUUGGUCAAUGGACGCAAGUCUGAACCAGCCAUGCCGCGUGAAGGAUGAAGGUCCUCUGGAUUGUAAACUUCUUUUAUCAGGGACGAAAACGGGAUUUUUAUCUCAAUUGACGGUACCAGAGGAAUAAGCACCGGCUAACUCCGUGCCAGCAGCCGCGGUAAUACGGAGGGUGCGAGCGUUAUCCGGAUUUACUGGGUUUAAAGGGUGCGUAGGUGGGCUUAUAAGUCAGUGGUGAAAUCUCCGAGCUUAACUUGGAAACUGCCGUUGAUACUAUAGGUCUUGAAUUAUCUGGAGGUAAGCGGAACAUGUCAUGUAGCGGUGAAAUGCUUAGAUAUGACAUAGAACACCAAUUGCGAAGGCAGCUUACUACAUAUAAAUUGACGCUGAGGCACGAAAGCGUGGGGAUCAAACA